RNAcentral lists this long non-coding RNA (854 nucleotides) under Gallus gallus (chicken). RNAcentral describes it as "long non-coding RNA NONGGAT007880". Lineage: Eukaryota; Metazoa; Chordata; Aves; Galliformes; Phasianidae. The record is from RNAcentral.
CUUGGAGCCAUCUUUGAAUAAAUUGGAGCAUCUCCACUAACAUCAACAAUGAUUAAGGUUUACAGCCAUUUGGGUGGAGUUAGCACGGUCCUGCCAUCCUCCAGAAAGCUGGUGUUGGAUACGAGGUCAUCUGUCACCACGAGACAGCCUGACAUCUCCUGAGGCUGCAUGGUUGGGAGAGAUGUGGACAGAAGAACAAGCUGUUCUGCUUCAGUUCACUGAAGCAAAUUUAUGAUGCAGGCACCAAAGCCAGCUCAGUCCUGAAAUGAAUCUGCUGCUUUACAAAAAGCAAAGGUGUUGGGGCUGUGCUCUGCUAUAGGGAAAUCCAGAAUGGGUGCAUUCAUUGUCUGCCCUCAGCAGUGCUUUAUCCAGGUGACCUCUGUCCCUUUUCCUGCUGAUGUACUCCACUUGCAGCAUCACUUGAAUAAUUUCAGUAUCCUGUCUGAGGAGUUCUCUUGCUGAAGUUUUCCCUUAUUUGCCUUUGUAUUGUCUCCCCCCACCUCUCUCUUUGUGGAUGAUGUCAAGAGAAGCUAUUUUCCUCUCUCUGUUGCAGUUGAUGCCGAUGCUUUUUCAGGAGCCCAAGGGAUGCUGAGAAAAAUGAGAAAAGUUACAGAAAAAGCACUUUUAUGUAAUGUAUCUCCAUGCUGGGUGGAGAUCUCUGGUGUGCCUGAUCCGAGGGGAAGAGGUUAUCCAUGCGCUGCUCAGCGAUGCUCUGUUCCCCUUUCCAUUGCUCUCUGUUCAGCACAUUCCUGGUGGGGGUGAUGCCAACUUGUCACGAGUCACAUCUAUGUACAUCUCAUAAAGGAAAUCUGUUAGCAGCCAAUACUUUUCACUGAACUCUGUGAGAUUUUCUU